Molecule: ribosomal RNA, 151 nt
Filed under: Escherichia coli
Lineage: Bacteria; Pseudomonadati; Pseudomonadota; Gammaproteobacteria; Enterobacterales; Enterobacteriaceae
Description: partial 23S ribosomal RNA
Rfam family: Bacterial large subunit ribosomal RNA (bases 1-133)
Source: RNAcentral
CCCGAGAUGAGUUCUCCCUGACCCUUUAAGGGUCCUGAAGGAACGUUGAAGACGACGACGUUGAUAGGCCGGGUGUGUAAGCGCAGCGAUGCGUUGAGCUAACCGGUACUAAUGAACCGUGAGGCUUAACCUUACAACGCCGAAGGUGUUU